RNAcentral lists this unclassified non-coding RNA (307 nucleotides) under Hevea brasiliensis (rubber tree). The record is from RNAcentral. Lineage: Eukaryota; Viridiplantae; Streptophyta; Magnoliopsida; Malpighiales; Euphorbiaceae.
UGAGAAUACUUCAACAAGUGUUCAUGCAACCAAUAGCGUAUUUGUACAAUGACCUCAAAUAUCAUAAUUUAAAAGAAAAAAUUAAUCAUUUUAACAGCUAUCAAGUUACAACCUAGUAUACAACAUAUCUUAAGCUAAACAAUCAACAACACCACCAGUGAAGCUGGUCUAGGCAAAUGAGGAUUAAUUUUUCAUAAUAUUAAUGUUUUUGGGUUUCAGAAUUAGGUGGAACAGAAAUCCAAUUUCGUGAAUUGUUUUCAGAAUUACAAUGGUCCGAACCCUAGAUAUUAAAAUUAGGGCAAGAAAA